Molecule: non-coding RNA, 193 nt
Organism: Lachnospiraceae bacterium A4
Lineage: Bacteria; Bacillati; Bacillota; Clostridia; Lachnospirales; Lachnospiraceae
Source: Rfam
GCGUGGGUAACUACGAAUCUGAAAGAAGCUGGAUGUGAGGAACAGAUUAACGCACGGGCAAAUCUCUGGUCUGAGGAACAGAAAUCUCAUGCGAGGUUAUGCAUGAGGGUAAGGUUGCAUAACAAACUAAAGCCCAAUAACGACACGGAAUCAUGCAUGAUAAAUGAGACAGAUGGAUGGAGAGGAUUCUAUA